This 253-nucleotide ribosomal RNA is filed under the name uncultured bacterium. RNAcentral describes it as "partial 16S ribosomal RNA". It matches the Rfam family "Bacterial small subunit ribosomal RNA", at positions 524 to 776 of the family's 1533-position model. The record is from RNAcentral.
UACGUAGGGGGCAAGCGUUGUCCGGAAUCAUUGGGCGUAAAGCGCGUGUAGGCGGCCCGUUAAGUCCGCUGUGAAAGUCCAGGGCUCAACCCUGGGAUGCCGGUGGAUACUGUCGGGCUCGAGUCCGGAAGAGGCGAGUGGAAUUCCUGGUGUAGCGGUGAAAUGCGCAGAUAUCAGGAGGAACACCAAUGGCGAAGGCAGCUCGCUGGGACGUGACUGACGCUGAGACGCGAAAGCGUGGGGAGCAAACAGG